Molecule: long non-coding RNA, 1288 nt
Organism: Ictalurus punctatus (channel catfish)
Lineage: Eukaryota; Metazoa; Chordata; Actinopteri; Siluriformes; Ictaluridae
Source: Ensembl
UUAUCUCAACUCCCACAACUGUGCAAACCCUCAGAGUCCAGACCUGCUGCCACCAUCUCAAAACCAAAUCGUACAUCCAGUAUUUCAAAUCCCACAUCUGCUGCAACCAGCUUCAAAUUCCAAAUCCAACACCAGCAUCUCAAAUCCCACACCUGCUGCCACCAGCUUAAAUGCCACACCUACUGCCAGCAACUCAAAUUACACACCUGCUGCCACCAUGUCAGAGCCCAAACAUACUGCCACCUUCUCAGAGUCUGCCACCGUCCCCACAACAUCUGCAGGACAAUUCAUCUCAGUCUGUAAACAUCCUACUAACAAUGCAGAUCAAAGAAGAAUAAACAUCAAACAGAGGAGGAGAAAAGACAGAGCAAAUGAAAGAGAAAGCUCUUUUGACAAAGCUGAAGCAGGAGAAAUCCCUGCCAAGAAGAAAGCACUGCAAACUUCUCCGAGUUCAAGCACAGAAAACAGAAAGUUCAAGCGUCUCUGUACGGGAGAAGCAGCAGACAGUGAAGGGGAGAGCGAUCCGAUGAACGUGGAUGAGUCUACCUGUUCUGCCCCAGAGGAGGACACCAUGGAUCAUGAAUCUGCUGAGGACUCCCACCGUGUGCCACCUACUGAGGACCUCGACAUGCAGUGUGACUGAAGUUUAUUACGCUUCACCUUUCAGUUUUUUACUGAUUAUUUUAUACUGAUAAAAGUCUUUAUGUUGUUGGUUAUUUUGGUUAUUUUUAUACAGAUCUUGUAUACACUGUACACGUACGGUGUUCCAGCUGUUUUAUUUAGUGUCUGUUAGAUUUUAUUAAAAAUCUGAAUUGUAAAUGAAUUGUAAAUACAUCAUACCAUUUAACAAAAAUCUGAAUAUUUCAGAAAAUGUCAUCUCUCACUGCAGAAAUCACGGGGUUUUACUUAUUACAUUUUCAAAUUUGUUUUAAUUAUUUAUUUCUUAUGUUUAACCAGAUCAGAGCUUUCUUCAAAAAUAAUUUUUGACAUUUAACAUGGUUUCCCAGAGAAUUCUGAUGGCUGCCAUGAAUGAAUUAUAUUAAUGUGUUACAGAAUAGGUGAACUAGCCAAUCAGGUUAUUGUUGUAAAUGCACUGUGUGAUGUAUCUGUACGGGAUGUUGUUGUGAUUAAAUGUCUUGAAAUUAUAUAUCAGCAAAAAUAACCUUACAGUUUUAAUUACUACUUUUUUAAAUGCAUGAUUUUUUAAAUAAAAAAAUUACAUCAAAAUUGGCAAUGUCCUUAUAAUUUUGAAGUUAAAUACAUGGACGGGGUUUGGGUUAGGGGUUAG